AACGAACGCUGGCGGCAGGCUUAACACAUGCAAGUCGAACGGAUCCUUCGGGAUUAGUGGCAGACGGGUGAGUAACGCGUGGGAACGUACCCUUUGCUACGGAAUAACUCAGGGAAACUUGUGCUAAUACCGUAUGUUCCCUACGGGGGUAAGAUUUAUCGGCAAAGGAUCGGCCCGCGUUGGAUUAGCUAGUUGGUGGGGUAAUGGCCUACCAAGGCGACGAUCCAUAGCUGGUCUGAGAGGAUGAUCAGCCACACUGGGACUGAGACACGGCCCAGAAUACGACGGGAGGCAGCAGUGGGGAAUAUUGGACAAUGGGCGCAAGCCUGAUCCAGCCAUGCCGCGUGAGUGAUGAAGGUCUUAGGAUUGUAAAGCUCUUUCACCGGUGAAGAUAAUGACGGUGGCCGGAGAAGAAGCCCCGGCUAACUUCGUG
This 433-nucleotide ribosomal RNA is filed under the name uncultured bacterium. Its description in RNAcentral is "partial 16S ribosomal RNA". It matches the Rfam family "Bacterial small subunit ribosomal RNA", at positions 29 to 507 of the family's 1533-position model. The record is from RNAcentral.